RNAcentral lists this long non-coding RNA (275 nucleotides) under Crocodylus porosus (Australian saltwater crocodile). Its description in RNAcentral is "lncRNA (ENSCPRG00005007947.1)". The record is from RNAcentral. Lineage: Eukaryota; Metazoa; Chordata; Crocodylia; Crocodylidae.
GUCAGGUCAGAGCUAGGAAUAACAUCAUAUCCCACAUUCCUGCUUCUAAUGACUGAUCAUUACUUUAAAAUACCCAGGGAUUUGGUUCUUACGCUAAAAUCAUCUUCUCUACAAAUGGUUUCCUAACAAGAGCCACCAAACAGAUGUUGGGUUCUGCUGAACCAGAUCAUAUUCCUAGUGAUCAGUCAGGGCAGGCUCACAACACAGGACCAGCCUCUCAUAACCCAGAGAACAUCCAGAAAAUUCCCAGGUGGUGGAUGGGAAGAGCUGAUUAA